GCACAAGCAGCGGAGCGUGUGGUUUAAUUCGAUGCUACACGAAGAACCUUUACCAGGGUUUGACAUGCAAGUGGUAGGAAACCGAAAGGUGACCGACCCUUCGGGGAGCUUGCACAGGUGCUGCAUGGCUGUCGUCAGCUCGUGUCGUGAGAUGUUCGGUUAAGUCCGCUAACGAGCGCAACCCUCGCUGUGUGUUAUAUGUGUCACACGGGACUGCCGGUCUUAAGCCGGAGGAAGGUGGGGAUGAUGUCAAGUCAGCAUGGCCUUUAUAUCCUGGGCUACACACACGCUACAAUGGCCAGCACAGUAGGUUGCUAAGCCGCGAGGUGGAGCCAAUCCAUAAAGCUGGUCUCAGUUCAGAUUGCAGGCUGCAACCCGCCUGCAUGAAGAUGGAGUUGCUAGUAACCGCAGGUCAGCUAUACUGCGGUGAAUACGUUCCCGGGGCUU
This 447-nucleotide ribosomal RNA is filed under the name uncultured Leptolinea sp. RNAcentral describes it as "bacterial SSU rRNA". It matches the Rfam family "Bacterial small subunit ribosomal RNA", at positions 923 to 1382 of the family's 1533-position model. The record is from RNAcentral. Lineage: Bacteria; Bacillati; Chloroflexota; Anaerolineae; Anaerolineales; Anaerolineaceae.